GUUUUGCAAGAUUUAAACUUUGUUUUCUAUUGAGGAUAUCAAUAUUGGAGAACGAUAUGCGACGUAAGAAAUCUAGAUACACAAAAUCUAAGAAAUACAUAUCCAUAUUUGUAAACGUGUACUGUUCCGGAAUAUUCGAUAUCCUAGAGAGAUUACAAAUUCCCGUAGCUACACAAGAAAUGUGUAUGUGUACACGAGCUCUCGAAUAUUCGUUACAUUCUGAAAGGAAACAAUAACAAACGUACGUGUACAGGCGAAGCUUAUUUAUUUCGAGCAGCUGUCCAUUUCACACACUCUUGAUCUAGAGUUUGUCCUGACAAGAUAUAUUAGUACCGUUCAAAUUUCCCGUACGUCGAUUCGUCUCUAAUUCGUGGCUUUCUUCUUUUGAGAUUUACCUAUAAUCUUUUUCUCUUCUAUUUGGUCAAUUUUAUCCGAUUGACACUUGGAUCUGCUAUUUGCUAUUAAAUACUUUAUUUGGGUUCCAAGAAAGCAGUGUGAAGUGUCUCUUUCUCCGUGGCACAGCGAGAGAUCGCAAGAAAUCCGUUUUCUAAGAUUGUGGAUUCACAAGAAAAGAAACUUCCAGUGUGUUCCGAUUUUAAUGAAACUUGUACCACAUUGAUAAAUCGAGAAGUCGGAAAUUGAACUGGAUACGUAGACUGUUCUGUCUUGGAAACGUGCCCUAGUGAACCUUUAAUCAACAUGCUGCCCUUUAACGGAGUUCGUGUGCUGCCGGACAUACCAAAGAAUAUGCCGAAUAGGCUUUUGAUCCAGGAAUUCGAGACUGACUCCUCAAUGCCGACCAACUGCUGUCGAGAUACCGCAACGAAAGCGUCAACUUCGAGCAACCGCAACUUCGUCAAGAAGAUCGUCGAAGCUUACGAGUCAAACGUAAGGGCGCCUAACGAGAAUAGUCAGCAAUCUAAAGAAAAUUCCAAUUUCUUUAAUACUCUUAAUUUCGCCCAGAAUCGAAAGAACGCAGAGAAGAGUGGCUUGAGUCUCGCGACAUAUAAUGCGCCCAGCUCGCACUGUUGGAAAAACUUAAACGGAAAAUCCGAGAUCUUUUCGACUCCGUUCGAGGCGCACAACGUCGAAGAUGAUUUCGUGAUUUUUAAUCGCUAUCAUUCAGAGAGCGAUGAAAAAACAGUUUCAGAGAUGGAAUCUCCUUCUAAGAUUAACAAGAGAAACCAACAAUUGGAUGAUAAAACGAAGAACAAAUUAAUGAUUUGCUCAAGUCCUUUGGAGAAUUCUGAAGACAACGAUUUAGACCGUGAUGAUCUUCUUGAUGAUAUCUUGACGAGUUCUUGCGACUCGAGCAGCAAUAACAGCUACAGAAACUUAAAAGCCAACCUAUAUGACUUUGAAGACAAACAAUGGCAAUCCGUAUGCUCCUCAUCGCUGAAGUCCUCCUGGGGAUUAUCGCUCAAUAACAUAAACAGUGAUGAUGGUAGUCUGAACUCAUCCUUCCAAAAUGUAAACGUUAUAUCUUCCAAAGAUACUCCGAAGAGCCGAAAGAAUCUUCAAGAUUCUAAACCGAAUCCGUCAUCUAAUUUCGAUCGGAAGUCGUCGCAAGCAACCGUCGCUUCGCUGAAUGAUCAACCGAUCAAGAUCGACAACGAUACCUGCGUGACGUGGAUGUCAGCUCUGGGCGAGAAGCUAUCGCGAAAGAGACCGCUGAAAGAGUUAUUGAAGUCGGCAUUCAACACUAAACUAUUGAACUAUAAGAAAGUCUGGAAAAAAUCGGCGGAGAAGCAGCCGAAGGAGCGUACCUCCGGCUCGGGAUUUAUCGAACAGCUUCUGCUCUCUCGGCGCUCCGAUCUCGAUGAGAAACCGUCGGUACCGCCAACUUCCACAACUUUCAGCCACGCGGGGAACGCUUGCGUCAGCGACAAGAUCUGGUCGAAGAGUUCUCGCAUGGUUUUGACUGAAGUGCCUCGCGAAGAAUUCACGAGCGAUUCUAAGCCUUCCGAUUCGACCCUCUGGGUACCUAGCUCAACCACCUUCCGCAAAGAGAGUCGCGUUGAAUCUUCGUCGAAGAGCACGAUGCUACCGAGUUCUUCAAAGUUGGAAGCCUCCUGUGGAUACCCGCCGCUUGCUAAGCACCCUUAUCUGACCCGAAACCGGAUCCGCAAACACCCCUUCGUCGCAAAGACAAAGCUGGAUCAAGAGGCGGAGGAGAAGUCGAUAGGGGAGGAAGAGAUGAGAUGCGACGCGAAGGAAUCUGAGUUGAAGCCUUUGGAUGCGUUGCCUGUGUCUCAAGUUGAAUUAGAUCUCUUGUAUUCCAAUUCCGAGGAAAAAUCGUUGUUUUCAACUACAAACAGAAACUGCGAUCUGUUGAAAUCACGUCCGUGCAAGUCAACAUCGGCGCUCGAUGGGUUUGUUCCUCAGCAAACACCGAUCCAUGUUUCCAUGUCGUGCAACUUCAGCACGGAUUUCUUAUCUACUGUGCACAAUAACCCAUACAUGCAGGGAAAGCCUCAGCGCUACGCCACUGUGAACCCGAAGAACUUGCGAUUUCCAUGUCGCGGAAGAAAUCACGAGCGAUCGAAAGGAGGAGUCUCGACGCUCGAGAAGGCACCAGCGACUCUUUUGCUCGGAAAGAGCUUUCGGCUGAGAGGAAUUUUCUAGAUCGCGUGAUUUAAUUAAACUUCUUCGCUGUAAUACAUCAUGCUGGAUACCAAUAUAAAUCACGAUCAAGCCUCUCACAA
Molecule: RNA transcript, 2705 nt
Organism: Solenopsis invicta (red fire ant)
Lineage: Eukaryota; Metazoa; Arthropoda; Insecta; Hymenoptera; Formicidae
Exons: 3
Source: RefSeq, a predicted model, not a curated record